CCUAGAGAGUAGGAAGAAUCCCAAAUCGGCUUCCUCGUACGUGUGCACUAUGUAGGGCGCAAACAAAAUGGCGGCGAUGGCUCAGCCGUUAAGGAUUUGGACGACUUGUUUUGAAUCGGUCACGGUUGCGCCCUUAACCUUGAAAACUUCAGUUAAAUUGUGAGUCAUGUGAGGGAAAUGACUCAUUUUUACUUGGUAAUAAUUUUGUUUUGUUCAUGUUCAUCAGAGGAUAACGGCUAAGAAGGCCAUGUCAUGUCACUGAGAUCAGUACAGAAUGUUUAUCUGUUUACAGAAACACAAACAUGUUCUUCUGUUCAAGAGGACGAGUCUGCGAGUGUUGUCUAACUUCCACGACAAUUUGGCAUCUCCUGGCUGGACUGCGCGAGUCUUUCAGCUUUUCUGGACAACAAGCAAACCGGAGGAAGCUCAUGGAGAAGUUUCACCCUGAAGUCUGUGUUGAUGCGAAGGAGGUUUGUUGUGCAGUGUGAAAGACCAAUGCAGCCUAACCACUGACUGAAACACAAACAUGUUCUUCUGUUCAAGGUUCGUCUGCACAUCUUCUAGAGACUCCUAAAACAAAGCCUGUUUGAACUGCCUCAAACCGCUUCUUAUCGGGACACAGGAGUGUGUCAUGCUCUGCGUUUCAUAUAUACAUAUAUAUAUAGUAGUGGUUCAGCACAAGCACUUCAGAGCGCUCUCAUUAUUCUAUCCUGCUUUAUUCUAUCCUGUAUUAACCAUCUUUCUGAAAUAAAUCUUUUUACCUUCAGAGGACGAGUCUGCGAGUGUUGUCUAAUUUCCACGACAGUCACUUUAGAUAUAAGCAUCUGCCAAAUAAAUACAUGCAACUGCAAAAUAAUGGCUUCUACAACCUAUGUAGUGCACUCCAUGGCCAAUAGGAAAACAUUUUUAGCCAUCUCCAAAGUUUAGCUAAUCUGGCUUUUACAUUUUUUUUGUUUAUUUCUAUUACAAUGUACAAAUGUUUCUCUUAGUCGUGCUCUUAGCCAAAGCAAAAUAACAUAUUA
Long non-coding RNA from Ictalurus furcatus (blue catfish), 1022 nucleotides. RefSeq lists it as uncharacterized. The record is from RefSeq and is a predicted model, not a curated record. The transcript is spliced from 3 exons. NCBI's taxonomy places the organism in Eukaryota, Metazoa, Chordata, Actinopteri, Siluriformes, Ictaluridae.